This 116-nucleotide ribosomal RNA is filed under the name Pteropus alecto (black flying fox). The record is from RNAcentral. Lineage: Eukaryota; Metazoa; Chordata; Mammalia; Chiroptera; Pteropodidae.
GUCUAUGGCCAUGCCACCCGGAACAAGCCCGAUGUCUGAUCUCGGAAACUAAGCAAGGGCAAGACUGGUUAGUACUUGGAUGAGAGACUACCUAGGAAAACCAGGUGCUGUAGGCA